UAUACACGAAAUGUUAGUUGUAGGUUGCACUUUGUAAAUACAGCUGUUUCUGACAACACGCCUCUUUUGGGGAGAGAAUAUUCAUAGAAAAUUAAUUUUGUUUACAUACUGGUUCCCAGUUAUGCUCUCUGUGUUCCAUAUCGCAGAGACAGAACUGGGGAAUGUUACCAGUAAAUAAACACGUGCAUAUUGUUUACAUUGAAAUCUGUGGUAACCUUUCAUUCGAGGUAGGGGUAGUUAAGAAAAUUAGUGUAAGUUUCAACUCUGAGAAGUUCGGGGCAUAUAAACGUUGAAAAUAUGCCGCACAGCCCUAUAUUUUGACCUUUGAAAAAAAUUGUGGUGCAAAUGAACUUUCAAUUCUAGGAUAAGAUUUUUUUCAAAACUUCAUAGUAAAAGUGGUACAGUUUUAGCUGUAAAAGGAGUUCCUAUGGGAAAUUGCAUUGUCAAUAUUUACAGAAAUGCAACCUAUAUAGGGUGAAAAAGGGGAACAUUCAG
This 495-nucleotide long non-coding RNA is filed under the name Mytilus galloprovincialis (Mediterranean mussel). The record is from RNAcentral. Lineage: Eukaryota; Metazoa; Mollusca; Bivalvia; Mytilida; Mytilidae.